AGUUUUAAGUGAAGAGUUUGAUCCUGGCUCAGAGUGAACGCUGGCGGUAGGCCUAACACAUGCAAGUCGAACGGCAGCACAGAGGAGCUUGCUCCUUGGGUGGCGAGUGGCGGACGGGUGAGGAAUACAUCGGAAUCGACUCUGUCGUGGGGGAUAACGUAGGGAAACUUACGCUAAUACCGCAUACGACCUACGGGUGAAAGCAGGGGAUCUUCGGACCUUGCGCGAUUGAAUGAGCCGAUGUCGGAUUAGCUAGUUGGCGGGGUAAAGGCCCACCAAGGCGACGAUCCGUAGCUGGUCUGAGAGGAUGAUCAGCCACACUGGAACUGAGACACGGUCCAGACUCCUACGGGAGGCAGCAGUGGGGAAUAUUGGACAAUGGGCGCAAGCCUGAUCCAGCCAUACCGCGUGGGUGAAGAAGGCCUUCGGGUUGUAAAGCCCUUUUGUUGGGAAAGAAAUCCAUCUGGUUAAUACCCGGGUGGGAUGACGGUACCCAAAGAAUAAGCACCGGCUAAC
RNAcentral lists this ribosomal RNA (516 nucleotides) under Stenotrophomonas maltophilia. Its description in RNAcentral is "bacterial SSU rRNA". It matches the Rfam family "Bacterial small subunit ribosomal RNA", at positions 1 to 501 of the family's 1533-position model. The record is from RNAcentral. Lineage: Bacteria; Pseudomonadati; Pseudomonadota; Gammaproteobacteria; Lysobacterales; Lysobacteraceae.